AGAACGAACGCUGGCGGCGUGCCUAACACNUGCAAGUCGUACGUGAAAUCCACCUUCGGGCGGAGAGUAAAGUGGCGCACGGGUGAGUAACGCGUGGGUAAUCUACCCAUGGAUUCGGGAUAACCAACCGAAAGGUUGGCUAAUACCGGAUAAUGUCCUGAUACAUAAGUACCGGGACCAAAGGAGGCUUUUGCUUCCGUCUUUGGAUGAGCCCGCGUACCAUUAGCUAGUUGGUAGGGUAAAGGCCUACCAAGGCUACGAUGGUUAGCUGGUCUGAGAGGACGAUCAGCCACACUGGAACUGAGACACGGUCCAGACUCCUACGGGAGGCAGCAGUGGGGAAUAUUGCGCAAUGGGGGAAACCCUGACGCAGCGACGCCGCGUGAGCGAUGAAGGCCUUCGGGUCGUAAAGCUCUGUCAGGUGGGAAGAACCCUCCGUCGAUGAAUAAUCGACGGAGCUGACGGUACCACCAGAGGAAGCACCGGCUAACUCCGUGCCAGCAGCCGCGGUAACACGGAGGGUGCAAGCGUUGUUCGGAAUCACUGGGCGUAAAGGGCGCGCAGGCGGUCCGGUCAGUCGGAAGUGAAAUCCGUCGGCUCAACCGACGAACGGCUUCCGAUACUACCGGACUUGAGUACGGGAGAGGAAAGCGGAAUUCCCAGUGUAGAGGUGAAAUUCGUAGAUAUUGGGAAGAACACCGGUGGCGAAGGCGGCUUUCUGGACCGAUACUGACGCUGAGGCGCGAAAGCGUGGGGAGCAAACAGGAUUAGAUACCCUGGUAGUCCACGCCGUAAACGGUGAGUACUAGGUGUAGGGGGUACCGACCCCCCCUGUGCCGACGCUAACGCAUUAAGUACUCCGCCUGGGGACUACGGCCGCAAGGCUAAAACUUAAAGGAAUUGACGG
Molecule: ribosomal RNA, 907 nt
Filed under: uncultured bacterium
Lineage: Bacteria
Description: bacterial SSU rRNA
Rfam family: Bacterial small subunit ribosomal RNA
Source: RNAcentral